Molecule: long non-coding RNA, 1008 nt
Filed under: Parus major (Great Tit)
Lineage: Eukaryota; Metazoa; Chordata; Aves; Passeriformes; Paridae
Description: lncRNA (ENSPMJG00000005545.1)
Source: RNAcentral
AUGGCAGGUCUGGAUGGCACACAGAAAAUGAUGGAGCACAUUAACUUGCAGCCAGGAAAUUGGUUUUUCUGGGGGGCUCGGGGUUUGAUUUAUGGUGCCCCUGAGUCAGGGUUCCUCAUUGUUGUUGGAACAGGCUCCUGGGAUGGACAAGAGCCAGAGCAGAAUGGUGGUGGGCACUCCCCACCCUGCCCUUGGCUGUGCAGACAAUCCCAGAACAUUCCCUCUCUCCUCCAGGUCCUCCUGCUCAGAGAGCGAGCGCAGUGCGCUCUGCUGACACCCAGGAAUGAACGACACAAGGAGGGACAGGGACUAAAACUAGAGUUGAUGUGCCUCAAGUGUGGGUCCAUUAAGGGAUAGCGCACAGCUGAGCGCAGGUGUUGUUGUAGUGACCGCUCGGAACAAAGCAAGGAUUUGGGAUGCUGCGGUUCCUGACCUCGCGCACCUCGCGGUCCCCCCAGCAUCGCUGGUACCUCGCCAGGUUUUUACAUCAAGAGAAUUUGGGAGUGUCCUGUCGAGGAUGGCCAUCCCAGCCGCAUCAUCUUUUGCUGGUGUAAGGCUUCUGCCACUUGGGAAAACUCUGUUUUUAAAAAAGCUGCUCAGCUCAGUGCUGAGGAGCACCAGCAGGAGAACACCAAGGACCCAGCCAGAGCAGGUCAGGAACACAAAUGAGACAGACCUGAUGCUGGAAGCAAAAAUCAUAAAGAAUUCCAGCCAGGCCACCCCUGGGAAUACACCCAGGGGGUUGCAAAAUGCAGUUUUUAUGGUCUAGCUGUCCAUACUGAAUGCUGCAGCUUCAAAUAAGCAUUUUGCUUUUUAUUUUUGUUGUUGUUGCUGUGAAAGAUGGACAGGACUCUGCCUGCAGCGGUCAGACUCUGAUCUCACCCACUUUAAUUGGCUAGUUAGUUCUAUCUUUUCUUUCCCAAAUUAUUUGCAAGAAAUUGUGAUUUAAUCCACUCCGCACUUAAGAAAUUUAAUAAAUCAUUAGAAAUAACUGCCGAUGAUAGGAAA